RNAcentral lists this transfer RNA (65 nucleotides) under Laemobothrion tinnunculi. RNAcentral's name for it is "tRNA-Ala". The record is from RNAcentral. Lineage: Eukaryota; Metazoa; Arthropoda; Insecta; Psocodea; Laemobothriidae.
CGGAUAGUAGUAUGUUAAUAAUACAUUUAUUUAGCAAAUAAAAGAUAAACAAAGUUUCUAUCUGA